This 557-nucleotide ribosomal RNA is filed under the name Rhizobium sp. HRRP191. Its description in RNAcentral is "bacterial SSU rRNA". It matches the Rfam family "Bacterial small subunit ribosomal RNA", at positions 102 to 694 of the family's 1533-position model. The record is from RNAcentral. RNAcentral also lists the same sequence under 1 other name. Lineage: Bacteria; Pseudomonadati; Pseudomonadota; Alphaproteobacteria; Hyphomicrobiales; Rhizobiaceae.
ACGGGUGAGUAACGCGUGGGAAUCUACCUUUUGCUACGGAAUAACGCAUGGAAACGUGUGCUAAUACCGUAUGUGCCCUUCGGGGGAAAGAUUUAUCGGCAAAGGAUGAGCCCGCGUUGGAUUAGCUAGUUGGUGGGGUAAAGGCCUACCAAGGCGACGAUCCAUAGCUGGUCUGAGAGGAUGAUCAGCCACAUUGGGACUGAGACACGGCCCAAACUCCUACGGGAGGCAGCAGUGGGGAAUAUUGGACAAUGGGCGCAAGCCUGAUCCAGCCAUGCCGCGUGAGUGAUGAAGGCCUUAGGGUUGUAAAGCUCUUUCACCGGUGAAGAUAAUGACGGUAACCGGAGAAGAAGCCCCGGCUAACUUCGUGCCAGCAGCCGCGGUAAUACGAAGGGGGCUAGCGUUGUUCGGAUUUACUGGGCGUAAAGCGCACGUAGGCGGAUCGAUCAGUCAGGGGUGAAAUCCCAGGGCUCAACCCUGGAACUGCCUUUGAUACUGUCGAUCUGGAGUAUGGAAGAGGUGAGUGGAAUUCCGAGUGUAGAGGUGAAAUUCGUAGA